AGAGUUUGAUCCUGGCUCAGGAUGAACGCUAGCUACAGGCUUAACACAUGCAAGUCGCGGGGCAGCAUAGUGAUUGCUUGCAAUUACUGAUGGCGACCGGCGCACGGGUGAGUAACGCGUAUCCAACCUACCCUUUACUACGGGAUAACCCGGCGAAAGUCGGACUAAUACCGUAUGUAGUCCAUUGACGGCAUCCGAUAUCGGUAGGGGUUCUGAGAGGAAGGUCCCCCACACUGGAACUGAGACACGGUCCAGACUCCUACGGGAGGCAGCAGUGAGGAAUAUUGGUCAAUGGGCGUAAGCCUGAACCAGCCAAGUAGCGUGCAGGAUGACGGCCCUAUGGGUUGUAAACUGCUUUUAUGCGGGGAUAAAAGAGCCCACGUGUGGGUUUUUGCAGGUACCGCAUGAAUAAGGACCGGCUAAUUCCGUGCCAGCAGCCGCGGUAAUACGGAAGGUCCAGGCGUUAUCCGGAUUUAUUGGGUUUAAAGGGAGCGUAGGCCGCCUCUUAAGCGUGUUGUGAAAUGCGGGUGCUCAACAUCCGACUUGCAGCGCGAACUGGGGGGCUUGAGUGCGCCGAAAGUAGGCGGAAUUCGUGGUGUAGCGGUGAAAUGCUUAGAUAUCACGAAGAACUCCGAUUGCGAAGGCAGCUUACUGUAGCGCAACUGACGCUGAUGCUCGAAAGCGUGGGUAUCGAACAGGAUUAGAUACCCUGGUAGUCCACGCGGUAAACGAUGGAUGCUCGUUGUUGGCCCUUAUGGUCAGUGACCAAGCGAAAGCGUUAAGCAUCCCACCUGGGGAGUACGCCGGCAACGGUGAAACUCAAAGGAAUUGACGGGGGCCCGCACAAGCGGAGGAACAU
This 859-nucleotide ribosomal RNA is filed under the name human oral metagenome. RNAcentral's name for it is "bacterial SSU rRNA". It matches the Rfam family "Bacterial small subunit ribosomal RNA", at positions 8 to 940 of the family's 1533-position model. The record is from RNAcentral.